GGCGGAGUAGCUCAGUCGGUCAGAGCACACGGCUCAUACCCGUGGUGUCGGCGGUUCGAGUCCGCCCUCCGCUA
This 74-nucleotide transfer RNA is filed under the name Armatimonadota bacterium. RNAcentral describes it as "Armatimonadetes bacterium (sediment metagenome) tRNA-Met". It matches the Rfam family "tRNA". From Rfam's summary of the family: Transfer RNA (tRNA) molecules are approximately 80 nucleotides in length. Lineage: Bacteria; Bacillati; Armatimonadota. The record is from RNAcentral.